GCCCGUCACACCAUGGGAGUUUGUUGCACCAGAAGUAGCUAGCCUAACUGCAAAGAGGGCGGUUACCACGGUGUGGCCGAUGACUGGGGUGAAGUCGUAACAAGGUAGCCGUAGGGGAACCUGCGGCUGGAUCACCUCCUUAA
Molecule: ribosomal RNA, 143 nt
Filed under: Acinetobacter baumannii
Lineage: Bacteria; Pseudomonadati; Pseudomonadota; Gammaproteobacteria; Moraxellales; Moraxellaceae
Description: partial 16S ribosomal RNA
Rfam family: Bacterial small subunit ribosomal RNA
Source: RNAcentral